Lolium perenne is the source of this 2073-nucleotide long non-coding RNA. RefSeq lists it as uncharacterized. The record is from RefSeq and is a predicted model, not a curated record. NCBI's taxonomy places the organism in Eukaryota, Viridiplantae, Streptophyta, Magnoliopsida, Poales, Poaceae.
UAGUUCUAUUUAUUCACCAGAUGAAGGCUGGGCGCGUGGUACCUUGCUACCCUGGGCGAAGACAAAUAAUGUUGAUCCCGCAGUCAUUUUCCCAUGGCCCGCGUCGCUAAUUUUCAAUGCCUGUAGUUGCAGAGAUCGAUAUGAUGGGAUGUCUCGUCUCUUGAAUCGUAGGUGAAUCGUAGGAGAGCACUCACUUAUUUGCUUCCAUGGGAAUCAUCCGCAGCUGCCGGCCGGCCGUACCUCCCGCCGCCUACCUGCUAGUCAUGUACUUAUGAAAGCUCUGGCCGAUGGCGUAUCCCUUCCAUGUCUCGCAUUUUCCAGAUGACUAAGCUUCCGUACAUGGGUAAAUGGGUUGUACGAGAUGCCUCUACAUGGGCUGGAAGACGCACGUCACAUUGCAUCGCUCGCUGUCACAAAAAAUAAAGGAGUCCUGUUUUUACUUCGUCUUCUCCAUUCAUUAGCAUUAUUCCACUUCAUCUCCCUUGGUUCAACUCAUGGAAUAGAUCAGAAGAUAUUGAUGAUUUCCUCCUUCGCCUUCAUCUUCUCCACUCAAGACCAACCCUUAAAUAGUGGAGCUCCUCCUCCUAUCAAGAUCUCAACCACCAGCGAAAGGCAACGUGCUGGAUAGGAUGCCUCGGUUGGCCGGGCACAUCGCCUAAGUAGGACGAAUCGGGAAGCAGGAGCCCUCCCGUCACGGAGCCCCAUUUUAAUUCCCUCGCCGUAGCAGGUUCCUCCAGCACCACAGAACCCCGUAGCUGGCAUGUUGAUUAUUUUUCUCUGCCUCUCGUGGGUAUGUUUCAUGUACCUCACCACUUAAACUAAGGUUCAGUUUUAGUUGCAGUGAAUUGUAUUCUUUUUUCCCAGUAAUCGAGGUAGCACCAACAAAAAGGUUUCUUCCCUGAAAUUUAUGCUCACUGUAGAUUCAAUUAUAGUAAAUAAAGCAAGGUGUGCCUCCUCCUAUUUUUUCUAUGUAUAAUCAGGGUAUUUUUGGAUAUACAUUGCAUCUCCAUGGAUUACAAGCUGGAUCUCAGAGAUAAGGAGGCAUGCAUUUUUAUCGGUUGCCAAAUCAGCUCACCGACUCAGUGGCCUGGCCACACAGGCAAGCAUGUAGGAGUAGGACACAUCACGGCCACAACGACAGGUGUUAGAAAGGAAAUGCUCACUUCACUUCCACCACCGAGAGUGAGAUUCGGUUGCUGCUCGGGCUAGCUCGUCGGAAGCUAGCUCAGAUGUGUGCAUCCAUGGCUGCUCCGUCGUCCCACGGCGUCCCACCGCUGCUGCUAGCUGAUAUCGCUGGUGGUCGUUCCGCUGCUCGACGACAGCUUGUGAUGUGCCCGCGCGGCGGUCAACACAGGCAGACUGAGCCAGGCGGAGUUUCCCAAGGGGUUCGUAUUCGGGACGGCGACUUCGGCAUUCCAGGUCGAGUGCAUAGCCACCGAAGGCGGCAGCGGCGGCGAGCCCUCCAUCUGGGCCGCUUCGUCCACAUGCCUGGGAAUAUCGCGGAAAAUGCGGAUGCAAACAUGGCCACAUUCCACAGAUGAGUACCACCUCUAUAAGGAAGAUGUUGAUCUGCUGGAAAACCUGAAUUUCGAUGUUUAUCGGUUUUCAAUCUCAUGUUAGUAAGGAAGGUGUAGCGUAUUACAAGAAUCUGAUGGAGGCACAAGCAGCUGAUGGCGGCAGAGGCCCUGUCAGGGAAAGAUCCGGAGCGCCACAUUGGCGGCAGCCAGCGUUCAUGCCUUCGUGGGCUGUAGCUUGUAGUGGUGCUUGGUGGAGGCUUUUUUUGUCAGGACAGAGGACAACAGAGGACGAAGAAGCACUCUGUUGCAAAUGGUGGCGGUGGCUUACUGUCUGCUUAUAUUAUCCAGCUGAUAUGACACUUGUGGCUUCCUCAUGGAGUUUCCAGCAGAUCCAACAAUUUGUAAAAUUUUUGUUUCAUACAUAAGUAUAUUUUUUGGCAAAUUGAUAUUCAUUAUAUUCGUACACCUUAUCAUGUUAAAGCUAUCCAUACUAGAUAUAAAAUUAGUUAUUUUUUAGGCAACUAAAAUUAAUUCAAAGGAAAAGUUUAACAGCUUU